GACGAACGCUGGCGGCGUGCUUAACACAUGCGAGUCGAACGGAAAGGCCCUGCUUUUGUGGGGUGCUCGAGUGGCGAACGGGUGAGUAACACGUGAGUAACCUGCCCUUGACUUUGGGAUAACUUCAGGAAACUGGGGCUAAUACCGGAUAGGAGCUCCUGCUGCAUGGUGGGGGUUGGAAAGUUUCGGCGGUUGGGGAUGGACUCGCGGCUUAUCAGCUUGUUGGUGGGGUAGUGGCUUACCAAGGCUUUGACGGGUAGCCGGCCUGAGAGGGUGACCGGCCACAUUGGGACUGAGAUACGGCCCAGACUCCUACGGGAGGCAGCAGUGGGGAAUAUUGCACCAUGGGCGGAAGCCUGAUGCAGCAACGCCGCGUGCGGGAUGACGGCCUUCGGGUUGUAAACCGCUUUCGCCUGUGACGAAGCGUGAGUGACGGUAAUGGGUAAAGAAGCACCGGCUAACUACGUGC
RNAcentral lists this ribosomal RNA (469 nucleotides) under uncultured bacterium. RNAcentral's name for it is "partial 16S ribosomal RNA". It matches the Rfam family "Bacterial small subunit ribosomal RNA", at positions 28 to 508 of the family's 1533-position model. The record is from RNAcentral.